This 497-nucleotide ribosomal RNA is filed under the name uncultured bacterium. RNAcentral describes it as "partial 16S ribosomal RNA". It matches the Rfam family "Bacterial small subunit ribosomal RNA", at positions 28 to 507 of the family's 1533-position model. The record is from RNAcentral.
GAUGAACGCUGGCGGCGUGCCUAAUACAUGCAAGUCGAGCGAACAGACGAGGAGCUUGCUCCUCUGACGUUAGCGGCGGGCGGGUGAGUAACACGUGGAUAACCUACCUAUAAGACUGGGAUAACUUCGGGAAACCGGAGCUAAUACCGGAUCAUAUAUUGAACCGCAUGGUUCAAUAGUGAAAGACGGCUUUGGUGUCUCUUAUAGAUGGAUCCGCGCCGCAUUAGCUAGUUGGUAAGGUAACGGCUUACCAAGGCAACGAUGCGUAGCCGACCUGAGAGGAUGAUCGGCCACACUGGAACUGAGACACGGUCCAGACUCCUACGGGAGGCAGCAGUGGGGAAUCUUCCGCAAUGGGCGAAAGCCUGACGGAGCAACGCCGCGUGAGUGAUGAAGGUCUUCGGAUCGUAAAACUCUGUUAUUAGGGAAGAACAAAUGUGUAAGUAACUAUGCACGUCUUGACGGUACCUAAUCAGAAAGCCACGGCUAACUACGUG